RNAcentral lists this transfer RNA (64 nucleotides) under Pao leiurus. Its description in RNAcentral is "Monotrete leiurus tRNA-Cys". The record is from RNAcentral. Lineage: Eukaryota; Metazoa; Chordata; Actinopteri; Tetraodontiformes; Tetraodontidae. RNAcentral also lists the same sequence under 4 other names.
AGCCUUGGGGUGUUACACGUUAGAUUGCAAAUCUAAAGAAGCAGAGUAACGUCUGCCGGGGCUU